This 29-nucleotide non-coding RNA is filed under the name Homo sapiens (human). The record is from RNAcentral. Lineage: Eukaryota; Metazoa; Chordata; Mammalia; Primates; Hominidae.
UGCAGUUUAGGAAACACUAGGGCCCUCUC